GCGGGAGCAUCAGUCCUGCUGUCUGGCGGGGGAGACGGGAGGCACAGAGGAAGGUAGUGUUGCACACAGAUGCACGAAGACGCCUGGAAUGUCAGCUAAAUCAUGUCUCUCUAGCAUUCAUUUCUUCCUGUUCAGCUCUUAUAGUAUCCACCUGUCUGCAUUGUAAACUAAGGUCUGUGAGAUAAUAAAAGAUAGGUAAUGAACUAAUGUGCUAGUGAGGGCCCCCUCAAUCUCCACCAGCAGCCUGGACAGACAACCGAUUCCCUUCUUUUUGCCUUAAUCUGACCCAGCACACCAAACCCUUAAAAGUGACACUUAUCUCUACAUGGAGGCCUUUAGUCUGUUUCCUCAGCGUUGGAUGAUGGGUCCUUACCCUGGGAUAUCUCAUGGAAACAAAGCAUUAAAUGAGAACUAUCGGGAAAUACGUGUUCUCAUAAGAGGGAGUAUCCAGUUCUAAAUGAUCACCCCCAUGACUACUCUUCAUUAAGUGCCAAUUGGAUGUGCUUCUAACAAACUGGUCCCUGAAAAGGUCCCGUAAGGAACUUUCAUUAAUCAAAGGGAGAGACGCCAUCCACAAUGACAGAAUAAUUUGAUAAUUAGAUAACAGAGUUACGUGGGGUGUGUGGGAAGAGUCCAGGUGGAGAAACACCUAGAUCUGGAGCAGUCAGGGCAGGGUUCAGGAGGCAGAGUUUGCAUGGGCAUUUGCACAUCUGGCAGACAGAUAAGCAGAAAAGGCCAGCAGAGGCGCAGGGGUGUGGGUGGCCCCAGAUAUUCCUGAAGUUCGAGUACAAAGAGGUGGCUGAAGCAGAAACAGGGUGACAGCAUCCACGCCACACAAGUGAUCAUGAGUGCAAGAGGCAAGAGGCAUGUUCCGGAAGCUAAGAAAAUAGAAAAGGUGUUGAUCCUGACAGAGCUGAGCUACUGAACGUCAGAACAGCUUUUUAGCUCUUGUAUGAUUAAGUGAUCAAGGUCAUUCCCUUGGUUACCAGCAGAACCAAGGCUACACCUCCCCAGGCUCUUGGAAUCCAGGUCAGCUCCAGUGCCAUUUUGGCAAAGAACGCCAACACCACUUACUUCAUUAAGAAUAUAAACACAAGGUUGAAAAAUUCACAUUGUCAUUUCGGCUGGGAGAGAGAGCAACACUAUUUGCCUCCCAACAUUGCAUUUACCUUCAGCAGCCAGCUCAGAUGGAGGGAAAGGAAGUCGAAGAUUUCGAAGCAACCCUUUGGCAGUCAGUCGUACGUGAAUGGUGGAUAAGGAGAAUUUGGGAGACAACAACAUGUCUUCAGAGAAGGUGAAAAGAUUUCGC
This is a long non-coding RNA of Neofelis nebulosa (Clouded leopard), 1309 nucleotides long. RefSeq lists it as uncharacterized. The transcript is spliced from 5 exons. The record is from RefSeq and is a predicted model, not a curated record. NCBI's taxonomy places the organism in Eukaryota, Metazoa, Chordata, Mammalia, Carnivora, Felidae.